UUUAAGUUAGAAUUGUGUUGUUUUUAAAUUAAAUCACUAUAGUUGAUUUCUUUGUACUUAAGUUAGAAUUGUGAUGUUUUUUAAAUUAAAUCACUAUAUUUGGUUUCUCUGUACUUAAGUUAAAAGUGUAUUGUUUUUAAAAGUUGAAAUUGCAUUGGCACGCCUCAUGUUAAAUUUCUGAUCAUAGUUAGAUUUUGAUUAAAUGAUAACAUGCUAGAAACAUU
Molecule: long non-coding RNA, 224 nt
Filed under: Lathyrus oleraceus (garden pea)
Lineage: Eukaryota; Viridiplantae; Streptophyta; Magnoliopsida; Fabales; Fabaceae
Description: Pisum sativum (pea) long non-coding RNA (PSAT_LNC023086)
Source: RNAcentral